Molecule: ribosomal RNA, 253 nt
Filed under: uncultured bacterium
Lineage: Bacteria
Description: partial 16S ribosomal RNA
Rfam family: Bacterial small subunit ribosomal RNA
Source: RNAcentral
UACAGAGGUCUCGAGCGUUAGGCGGAAUCACUGGGCUUAAAGCGUGUGUAGGCGGAUCGGUAAGUACCUUGUGAAAUCCCACAGCUUAACUGUGGAACUGCUUGGUAUACUGCCAGUCUUGAGCCAGCUAGGGGCUACCGGAACAAAUGGUGGAGCGGUGAAAUGCGUAGAUAUCAGGAGGAACACCGGUGGCGAAGGCGGGUCUCUGGGCCGAUACUGACGCUGAGGAGCGAAAGCGUGGGGAGCGAACAGG